This 427-nucleotide ribosomal RNA is filed under the name uncultured bacterium. RNAcentral's name for it is "partial 16S ribosomal RNA". It matches the Rfam family "Bacterial small subunit ribosomal RNA", at positions 355 to 774 of the family's 1533-position model. The record is from RNAcentral.
UGGGGAUUAUUGCACAAUGGGCGCAAGCCUGAUGCAGCCAUGCCGCGUGUAUGAAGAAGGCCUUCGGGUUGUAAAGUACUUUCAGCGAGGAGGAAGGCGGUAAGGUUAAUAACCUUAUCGAUUGACGUUACUCGCAGAAGAAGCACCGGCUAACUCCGUGCCAGCAGCCGCGGUAAUACGGAGGGUGCAAGCGUUAAUCGGAAUUACUGGGCGUAAAGCGCACGCAGGCGGUCUGUCAAGUCGGAUGUGAAAUCCCCGGGCUCAACCUGGGAACUGCAUUCGAAACUGGCAGGCUAGAGUCUUGUAGAGGGGGGUAGAAUUCCAGGUGUAGCGGUGAAAUGCGUAGAGAUCUGGAGGAAUACCGGUGGCGAAGGCGGCCCCCUGGACAAAGACUGACGCUCAGGUGCGAAAGCGUGGGGAGCAAACA